This is a long non-coding RNA of Sardina pilchardus (European sardine), 332 nucleotides long. RefSeq lists it as uncharacterized. Lineage: Eukaryota; Metazoa; Chordata; Actinopteri; Clupeiformes; Clupeidae. The record is from RefSeq and is a predicted model, not a curated record. The transcript is spliced from 3 exons.
UUUCGACAACUGAUCAGUCUGAAUACAUCUAGGCUACGGCAUCAGCAUGCUGUGCAUGAAAUUCUUUGCCACAUGGGUUAUAUUACAUCAAGCAGUAGAGGGAUUGAAUUGCCAAGUAAAAGUCUUACCAGACGGCAGAACUUCAUACAAUGUGUCCUUACCGGUGGAUGCUUCUAUUGGAUGUGAUUAUGACUGGAAAAAUAACGCGACCAAUAUUGCCAGUGAUGGAGGAUAUUUGAUUGGUGUUGUUUUGAAGAGCAACCGUGACUCUGUCAUUCUACCCUCCUGCCAGUCCGAAGUCUCAUAUUGGGCUCAAUGCAAUGGGGCAUUGG